CAGCAGCCGCGGUAAUACCGGCGGCCCGAGUGGCGGUCACUCUUAUUGGGCUUAAAGCGUCCGUAGCCGGGUUGGGAAGUCCUCCGGGAAAUCUGGCCGCUUAACGGUCAGAAUGCCGGAGGAUACUCCCAGCCUAGGGAGCGGGGGAGGCCGAGGGGAUUCCCGGAGUAGGGGGGAAAUCCUAUAAUCCCCGGAGGACCACCUGUGGCGAAGGCGCUCGGCUGGAACGCGUCCGACGGUGAGGGACGAAGGCCAGGGGAGCAAACCGGAUUAGAUACCCGGGUAGUCCUGGCUGUAAACGAUGCGGACUUUGUGUCGGACAAGCUAUGAGCUUGUCCGGUGCCGGAGGGAAACCGUUAAGUCCGCCGCCUGGGGAGUACGGCCGCAAGGCUGAAACUUAAAGGAAUUGGCGGG
RNAcentral lists this ribosomal RNA (414 nucleotides) under uncultured microorganism. RNAcentral describes it as "bacterial SSU rRNA". It matches the Rfam family "Archaeal small subunit ribosomal RNA", at positions 459 to 872 of the family's 1478-position model. The record is from RNAcentral.